AAUCCUAAUCAUUCAUUGUAAUUCAAUCAAAGGCCAGAAAUUAUUUGGUAAGUAAAUGUGCUCUAUAUUCCCUAUUUUGGAAUAGCAAUACAAAUCUUUAUAUUCAUUACCAAAUCACACUUGACAAAAACUCCCUCUAUAUUGAAUCCCAUUAAUAUUUACAUCACAUUGCUCUUUCUUAGUGAUAUGUCUAUCCAUGUAAUAUUAGUGGUUUUUGGUUUACCCUCUGUAAAAAAAAAAAAAAUUUAGAUUCCAACCCUGUAAUUUAAAGAUUCUUCGGUUUUAAACCUUGAUAAAUUUUGAUGGUACAAAAUUGAUGAUAGAGUAGGGGGUAAACUGAAAUUCGCUCAUAUCUCUCAUCAAAAGGUGCUUUUCGAUAAUCUCUAUUUAGCAUAGUCCCCAGCAAAUCCGAGAGAACAUUGCAAUAUUUGUCCUACAUUCAUUUGCGAGGGUACCCCUAAUGGGUUGAAGACCAUAUCAAUGGUUCUUCCAUCUUGCAACUAAGACACAUCUUGUGAUCUAGACAAAAUCUUUGAAAUGAUACCUUAAUUCCAUGUCUCUUGGCCACUUUAUCACUUUUCACGUUUUCUGUGUGCGCGUUUGUGAAUCGUUUCUGGAUUAUAGCUAGAACCUGCUUUUUUUUAUUCCAUCUCAUAUCAAUAACUCUGCCCCUACCACCUAUAGGUAGUUUUAGACAAGUUUCCUUUGAGGUAGAUACUUGAAUUCAAAGUAUAGCUCGUAAUAAUCUAACUUCCGGAGCAUAUAAGGAUUCUUUCUCCAUUGGAGGUGUUAACUUACCCACUAAAAUAUCCCCCAUUUCUAUCCAAGAUCCCAUAAUCACAAUUCCAUUUUUGUCUAAAUUUCGGAGUAAAUGGGCUUCUAGAUGUGGAAUUUUAUUAGUGAUUCUUUAAAUAAUAAAAUUUCGGAGUAAAUUUUGACGGUACAAAAUCGAUAAUAUGGCAGGGGGUAAAUUGAAAUCGCUCAAAUUACAAGGGGCGAAAGUAUCAUAAAUUUUGAAAUUUGACGUCAUGAAGGUCCAAAACCAAAUAAUCUUCAAAUUACAGGUUUACAAUCUAAACAAUUUUUUUUACAAAGGGGCAAAUCAAAAACCGCUAAUAUUAAAGGGGUAAACAUAUAUUUACCCUUUGAUAUAUAUUUUUAUGAUGAAAUAGUUUUUUUUAACGAAUUAUAAUGAAAAAGUUGUAAAACAUACGACAUGCAAUGAAAAUGCAACUCUUGGUAUAAUAAUUAACAAGAUCGUAAAAACUAUUUUGUCAAAAAAAAAAAAAAAAACUGUAAAAACAAUUAGAAUCCGAUUCAUCAAUUUUUUGGUGGUGGCCGGGGUUCGAAUCUCGGACCUUACAUAUUUUAUGCAUUGUCCCUACCAAUUGAGCUAAGCUCACAAGUACAUCCAAUCAUCAAUUUGAGAAAAGAAACAAUGACUCAAAAUGGAUCAUUAUAUUUAAAACAAAAAAUUCAAAUAAAUAUUUUUUUUCUAACAAGCCAAAAUGAAUUAUAUUACUAAAACAAGAGUGAUUCACUUCGCACAAGACGUGUCGAAAGACAAUCACACAAAGUAUGUUACAAAGUCACCGGUGCCUAAUCAGGAGAGCACUACCAAAAUAAAAUAACAACGAAAAAAUAAUUUAAACAAAAACACUCAUACAUGAAAGAGGGUGACACCACCAAUUAUGAUAGUCAAAAGUGAACGUAACCAAAUUAGCCUUGAACCACAAGAAGGAAUUAAGCUUAACUUUGUCGAGGAUAUUAUAAGGAUCGGAUGCCGUAUUUUUUAAAACCUGAUUGUUCCUUUCCUCGCAAAUAACCCAGACACACGCCAGCCAAAUAACCUUCAAGAAUAAAUGAGAAGAUCGCAGCAUACCCGUCAAAUUAGUAAACAAAAUAAAAUGGUCGCGAAGCACACCGUAAGAAACUGAAGAAAUACAAGUCACUGCCAGACAAGGGACCAAACGCUGCCAAAGGUAUCACAGCCUAAGAAAAGAUGAUACGUCGUAUCCAUUGAGCCACAUCCUCCCAUACACAUGUCGUCGUCUGGUUGAAGAACAUGUCGUCGCACCAUGUUGUCUUUGGUUGGGAUUCUAUUAAGGAGAAGGCGCCACUCGUUUAAGGAAACCUUUAAAGGAACUUGCUUGUGCCAAAUAUCAUCAACGAAACCCCUAUCUAGAGGCUCAUCCGCGGCCGUGAGAAAUUGAUACUCCCCACACCCAAAAUAGCCAUGGAUAGCAUAUCUCAACCACUUCCAUUUACCAUGAAUAUGAUCCUGCAAAACAAUGUUAUGUAACAAAGCAGAACACCCACACCCACACACACACACACACCCAAAAAAAAUAAAAAAUAAAUCUUUUAAAAAUAAAUUCAAUAAAAGACUAAUGUUAUCCGGACCCGGGCUCUUGAAUAAAUUCAAUAAAAUUCCAAAACACCCCAAAACAAAAUAAAUUCAAUAAAUUCAACAAAAUUCCAUCAAAAAUCUCAUAAAAUCAUCCUUCAUCUCUUGCCAAAAUUCUUUAAUAAAUCCAAGUCUAAUGUUAUCCGGACUCGGGCUCUUGAAACUAUCGCAAUCCCAGACUGCUUGCUUCACCUCCUCUAAGGAAAAUGGACGAAUUAAAUUCCCUGAUUCAACGUUAGACAACUUAGUGAAAUUUAGUUCCUCCACCCCGGACACUCAACACCAAGAGAUUUGAAAUGAUAAGAAAACUGGUUAAAAACAUCACUUUUAUUGUUUUGGACCCCGUCGACUUAAACCCCAUCAACAUACACCAACUAAAUAGCAUUGCGGUGUCGCCUGUUAUACAUAAUACCAUGAAAGAAUUUUGAAUUAGCAUCGCCUUCUUGUAACCAGUUCAUCCUCGCCUUCUGCAAACUCAUACAGCACACGAGCUAUUGAGUGCAAACUCGUAGAUAACUCAUGAAGCUCCGUCACCUCAUCCUCCAGAAGCGCGGAUUCCUCCCCUGUUAGACAUAUUUCAGUUUAAUUUUUAUAUGUUUUUGAAAUGAAUUUAAUUUUUAUAUGUAUAAUGCCUUUUCAAAGCCCUAGGAAAUGUGGUAUACUUAGGAAAUCAAAUCAAACAUAGGAACAGGGGGUGCAAACAAUAUGCUUGAGUCGCUAUCCCUGGUCAUCUUUUCUGAACGUUGCAUUAUAAGCUCUAUUUUUUUUCCUUUGGUAAGGUAGGCGACAUAGGGUUGUCUGUUUGUAAAACUACUAAGGUCGGAAAGGGUAGGUGAUGUACUUCUAAGAUUCAUAAAUAAAGUUAGAGCCUUUAGCUAACAAUUUAGAAAUACCAAUUCUUUUAUAUUUCAAUUACCUCUGAUAGAGUAAUGCCCCACUCUAACAACCUUAUGUAGGAUUGACGACCCUAGACCGGUAGAGCGUGUAUAACAUUAUCGUGAUCAGCGGGUGCAACUUGAUUAUUGGAGGGACGCAAUAAUCCUACGAAUUCAGCACUUAAAAAAAAAACCCUUAUCUCAUAAAUAAUAUUUACUUGUCUUUAAAUGAACAAUGAAAUAUACCGCUAAGUUCUGCAAUCAUAACUAUUACUAAAAAUUCAAUUGUUUUGCACAAUCAAAUCAAACUUACAAUAUAUUUGUGAGUGUACCAUAUAUUGAAGCUCCCGUUAAUUUGUGAGUGUACCAUAUAUUGAAGCUCAAGAGUACGAGCGCAUUUUAAUUUGUGAGUGUACCAUAUAAUGAAGCUCCUGUUAAUCUUUUAAGUCUUGUUGUUUGAAAUAAUUGACGCAAAAUUUAAUGUUAUUCGUUACAAGAUGAAAAUAACAAAGAAGACGGAAAAUUACAAAUCAAGUAUAUAGUUCAUAAAAAAAAAAAAUAAUAAAUAAAUAAAAAAAACAUCUCUUAAUUUUAUGUAAGAAUUCAACUAAUUUUACAUUUUAUUUUAUUUUUUGUAUUAUCAAUUACAAAAAUACAACAAAAUCCUUAAAACUCAACCCACCUUAAAAUUAUUCCCACAAGAAAAUAAUACAACAAAUUUUUAUUUUUAUUUUGAGGGCAAGACAACCAAGUUCCUCUUAGCUCGAAAACUAAUUCUCAUACCCAAAUGAAAAUAAACAAAAUAUUUUUUAUCUAAUUUUUGCCCCAAUGUUUCAAACACCAUUGGAUGCAUGUUUCACAUUAUCAUUUGAAUAUUUUUCAUAUCCAAAUUCAUCAGUCGUCUCCUCUAGGAAUCUCUUCACUAUCUCCUUGCUUGGUUUAAUCACAAUCUCUUGAUGCAAAUGUUUAUAAUCUUCUCCCCUUAAAAGGGCCUCAAAGACUUCCGUAGAAUCAAUUUUAUACACCAUCGAUUCAAGCAUAUGAGUCAUGUUCUGGAUCUUCGAGAGUUGAUUUUUAGCCAGUAUGCAAGUGUUUUGUUUGGUUUCUUCAAUAGCUUUCUUAAGUAUCAUUUCCUUUAUAGCAUCAUCAAUGCCACUUUUCUUUUCUAUCGCGAAAAAAGAAUCAAGCUCAGGAACCCCAAUAGCCCUUCUAAUUCCCUUUGUGUUGUCUGCCCCAGGUACAAAAUAUUCUCGAAUCUCAUCAACCAUCCCACCCUCAACCAUUUCAUCCACUCUUUUGCCUACAUAUUUAAACAGAGUAGGCAAAGACACAUCUACCCAGAUGAAACAACAAUCAUAUUUUGAAAGAAAUGCAAUGGUUGGGUCCUCAACUAAUUUUCUUAGAUAAGAAUUGGACCCUCCUACAAUAAUAGGUAGGUGUCCAUUGCCAAUUAUUAGAUCUAAGGAUUCAAGCACAUGCUUGCAGAAAUCAUUCAUAGUAAAAUCAUAUUCAGGAUCAUCGAUGAUGCCUAAUAUAUGAUGCGGAAUCGAGCAACGUUCAGAUUCCAGUACCUUAUUUGUGACAAUAUCAAGACCCUUAUAGACUUGAAUCUUGUCUGAGUUGAUGAUUUCAGCGGGGUAAUAAGUACUCAAGUUGAUGGAAAGUUUAGUUUUUCCAGUUCCUGUUGCACCCAAUAUGAACAAAACCUUGUUCUUCUUUUCAGCUAGGGUUGAGGUAGUGAAAGCCAUGUUAUUUUCUGGAUGAAAAAUCUGAAGAAAAAAAAAGCAGAACAUAAAAAAUAAGAAAAUUAAUAAUAAGUAAAUUUGAACUAAUUUAAAUCGAAAAUAAAUUAUUCCUAACUAUCUUCUUAGUAAGAGAGUAUGUUAUACCAAGAAGAAGGUUGAUUGAAACUCUGUUAUUACAGUUAGAAUUUGUUUCUGAAUAAUAGGUGAGAAAACUUACGGUUUUUUUAUUCUGAGGACAAAAGUGAACUCAACUAUGCGCUAUAUAUUGUUCUCAAGGAAACCAUGCAAUAUCUUAUAAUAUAUUGCUGGUAGUAACUGUUAUUAAUUAAAAUAAUAUUUAGUCUUUCUCAAAUGAUAAAAUAGGAAAAAAAAAAUUCUUUUUAUUUUUGGUCAAAUUGAAAUUUAUUGUUAUGUAUGUAAGUAUUAAAUAUUAAGUAAUUUUGCAGUCAAAAAUAUUUGAAUAAUAAUAUAGUUACCUAGUAUAAAUGUGAAUAUAAACCUUAUAACAUAUUAUUUAAUAAAAAUAGUAAGAAAUUUAUUAGUAAGAAUUAUAUAAUUGUCUUUAAUUUGGUCAAUGGUCAUACAAACUUUUUUUAAUUUAUUGUUUUCUAGAUAUCUUUUUCUUUUUGAACAAAUUUUUUUAGCUACCUUGUUAGUCAGGGUGUGAAUUAUUUCAAGAAGAGGGGGUUAUCGAAUCUUUGUUAUCACAUUAAUAAUUUGGUUCAUAAAUAAAUAAAUGUAAAUUAAUUUAUUAUUUUGUUUGAGAUGUGUGAACUCAAUUUUUGUGUAUCUUUUAUGUUUUACACUUGAAUUAAUUUUUUAGUAAAAAACAUAAAAAUGUUUGAUCAUAUUGUCUUAUUGGGUUGUACAAAAUACGACAUUGUCUUACAUUUCAUCCCAACAAUAAUGCAUUGAGCCAGGUCUAACCGAAUGAAAAUAAAAAAAAAUAAUAAAGGAAUGACAAGGACAUAACUGAAACAUGGACCGAGUUAAUGUCACCCCUUGGGUUACUCGUCAUGUCCCAAAAAUAUUAAAGGACGAUCCUCCUGGACCUAGGAAAAUGGUUUUUUUGGGUAGAGAUUAGUUGUGUAGUGGGAUCAAGCUUGUCGUUGUUUGUUGUGGUCCUCCACGAGUUCUUCUCCACUGAAGGAGGGUUGUGUACGUAACUUCACAUGCUUGGACGUUUAAGUCAAUGUGGGCUUAAGAGAGUGCGGCUAAAAUAUGAUAAAUGUAAUCUUGGGGUCAACCUUCUAUUUUUGGAGACCCUUGAUGUUUUGUCCAAUACUUGCUAAACGUAAUCUUGGACCCACUUGAGGCAUAAGCCGUCGAGAAUCGUCUGUGUGGGACCGAGUUUAAGUUACCCCUCGGGUUACUCGUCGCAUCCCAAUUUAAUUAGAGGACUGAUCCUCAAGACCUAGGAAAACAAUUUUGUUGGGUUGAGAUCUAUUGUGUAGAAGGAUUGAGUUCGUUGUCGUCCACAGUGGUCCUUCAUAAGUCUUUCUCCAUUGAACUAUAUAUAUAUAUAUAUAUAUUAGCUUAGUAAAAAUUAAUAUAUAUGGAAUUACUGCGUCAAGUUCUUUGCCCUCCUCUAUGUAUUCAUUUUUAAGUCUUUUGUGCUAGUAAAUAGGAGACCAGCUCUCGUGCAAUGCAUUUCAAAGGACUACUCUUAUUCCACUCCUUAAAGCUCCGCACAUAGAGGUCUUUGUAAUAUUUGUGUGUUGAAUAUAUUCACCAUGCAGAGAGAGUCUAACAUAUUCCAUUAGACUCAGCUCCCAAUUAUGAACACAAUAAUACAGUAAAAUAUCAUAGCUUAAAAAAAAAUUAAAAAAAAUAAACUAAAGGUACCGACCAACUCAAAGACAGAUAUUGUUCACACAAAAAAAAAAAAACUCAAAGACGAAUUAAUUUUAAACACAUAUGCAAACCUAACAAACUUCAAUAGAAACCAUGAACACCAUUUAUUACAAAAUCUAACGAGGUUACAAAAUGGUAACACCAAUUAAUACCAAGCUCUAACUCGAUUACAUAUAAAUAACUUACAUUAAUUAAAAUUCAAUUUUAUAACAUUAACCAUCAAUAUCCCCUCAAAAAAAAAAAAAACAUUCACAGUGACGGAGGACCUAUAGGGCCAAGGUGGGUCAUGGUCCACCCAACAAAAAAAACAAUUAUAUGGGAAUUUUUUCAAAUAUCUUUGAUUUUUAACUAAAAUUACCUUGCAGCUGGUAGCCUGUAAUUUCGACAGACUCAUUUAAUGCGGUCAAUAUUGAUUGACUUUUAUCUUUUUAGGAAUCGAAGUCCUUCCCCUUCAACAUGAGGAUUUCAACAGAAACUGGGCUUAGCAUGUUAAAGGGUCUAAAGGCCUUGGAGUUCGACAAUACGUGAGACAAGAAUGCAAGUUCGUCGAAGCCAAGCAAUUACUGUUGAGGCUAGAAGAAUUUGAAUUUCAAAGAGAAGCGGUUUCCUUGAUGGAAACGUGGGAGACAAGCGGGUUCUUGAUUGAAAAAGUGUUGGUCAUGGAGUUAGAUUUUUUUCAGUUAUUUUGCUAUGUAUAAAUAGUAGUUUUCCAUAUUGAAAAUGGGUCGCAAAUCACUUAUUGAAAUUCUAAAACACUCGAAGUACCGGCGCGAGAGAAAAGAGUUAUACAGAAUGUAUGUAAAAUGAUUUGUCG
This 7695-nucleotide long non-coding RNA is filed under the name Medicago truncatula (barrel medic). RNAcentral describes it as "long non-coding RNA (MTRU_LNC008702)". The record is from RNAcentral. Lineage: Eukaryota; Viridiplantae; Streptophyta; Magnoliopsida; Fabales; Fabaceae.